AAUGAACGUUGGCGGCGUGGAUUAGGCAUGCAAGUCGAGCGCUCAUCAGCAAUGGUGGGAGCGGCGAACGGCGUAGUAAUGUGUAGGAACGUACCCUCUGGUCGGGGAUAGCUACGGGAAACUGUAGGUAAUACCCGAUGAUCUCUGUGGAGCAAAGGUGUGAUUCCGCCGGGGGAGCGGCUUACAUGAUAUUAGCUAGUUGGUGGGGUAAUGGCCUACCAAGGCUUAGAUGUCUAGGGGGUGUGAGAGCAUGGCCCCCACGACCGGAACUGAGAUACUGUCCGGACACCUACGGGUGGCUGCAGUCGAGAAUCUUCCGCAAUGGACGAAAGUCUGACGGAGCGACGCCGCGUGCGGGAUGAAGGCCCUUGGGUUGUAAACCGCUGUCAGAGGGGAUGAAAUCUCCGAGGGUUAUCCCUCGGAGUUGACAGAGCCUCAGAGGAAGCACGGGGCUAAGUAUGUG
Molecule: ribosomal RNA, 463 nt
Filed under: uncultured bacterium
Lineage: Bacteria
Description: bacterial SSU rRNA
Rfam family: Bacterial small subunit ribosomal RNA
Source: RNAcentral